GUGCCAGAGACAGCAGCACAAGAACUUUGGUCUCUUCCAGUCAUCAGUGAUGGAAUGAGUGUCUGGCACUUCCCAGGAAGCUGAGCUUUAAUGGGUCAGGAGAGAGCUCUCCAUCCUGCUGAACUGAGACAUUCCUUUCCCACUAUGCAGAUCAGUUUGGAAGCCUUGUCAGAAACAAUUCCUUAAGUUCAACCCAAAUUCAUAGACAGUUCCAGUUCCCCUCAACUGAGCACAAUCCUGGAGUAUUUUCAUGCCUGUUCUGGAUCUGGAGAGAUGUCAUAGGUCCUGGGAGCUGUCCCUCACCAAGCUGCUGAAGUUCAGCACCGUCACAAACACAGAACCACCCCAGCUCCCCUGGGCCAGCAAAGCAGGUCUGAGCCUCCUGAGCUUCUCU
Molecule: long non-coding RNA, 394 nt
Organism: Passer domesticus (house sparrow)
Lineage: Eukaryota; Metazoa; Chordata; Aves; Passeriformes; Passeridae
Exons: 3
Source: RefSeq, a predicted model, not a curated record